Molecule: non-coding RNA, 24 nt
Filed under: Arabidopsis thaliana (thale cress)
Lineage: Eukaryota; Viridiplantae; Streptophyta; Magnoliopsida; Brassicales; Brassicaceae
Source: RNAcentral
AGCUACAAAAGCAGAUUGAGUUGG